CCUCGUCCUUCCUUGAUGCUUGCAGCGAGAGCGCAAAGGUCAGCGUGGGCUGCUCGGAGGCCUCGAACGCAAAUAAAGUGGAAGAAUCGGCGCCGACGCUAACCAAUGACCUCACGUCGAAUCACUCGCCGGAAAAAGAAUACGUCGCCGAAACGACGUGAGUCAACCGGAAGAGCUCCACCGUCUGCGCCUCCAGCAGAAGAGUCUCCGGGUGAACCGAAAGCCUGGACGAGUCAAGUGAGCCGUCCGUCUUCGCCUCUCUCAGAAGGCAAUGUUGAUGAUGAAUGUUAAUUAUUGUCAAAGGUUUUAUAAUAUGUGUACUGUUGUAAUAUGUAUAAAUACUGUUAACUUACUUGAAGCAUGCACCCAAAGUGUCUGGCUAAAUCACUCUUUCCAGUUCUGGCGACACAUUUACCAAACAAAGCUCUGAGGAGGAGUAAAGAAAGGAUCUGUAAAUAAUCAGCAUCUCUGGUGACUGUGAUUUAUUUUGUUUUGACGUUUUUCUUGUGUUCGUUGAUGGAGAACUGCUGCAAAUGUCGAGGAAAAUGACAUGUUAGCGGUGUCUCUCGCUUUCGUAAUAAUGGCACCCAUCCCAGAUAAGUGCAAUGUUUGUCUUAAACUGUCAUGCCACGCGUAGUUAGAAUGCGUUGUUGUGUAUCGUUUUGUUCGGCCCGCGGGUCCGAAAUGCAUAGCCCACUCCCGCUUUGCACUUUUCCGAUCUUGAACUUGAUGCUGAUCUUUUCAGAAAAUGUCACAUUUUACCUUAUGUCUCAAUUUUAAACUA
Long non-coding RNA from Hippocampus comes (tiger tail seahorse), 784 nucleotides. RefSeq lists it as uncharacterized. NCBI's taxonomy places the organism in Eukaryota, Metazoa, Chordata, Actinopteri, Syngnathiformes, Syngnathidae. The transcript is spliced from 2 exons. The record is from RefSeq and is a predicted model, not a curated record.